CAAGAGCAGCAGAGUGAGGCUCUGCUCCCCACUCGGGCUUCAGAAAGCCCUGCUUCCCCAGGCAGGGAAGUGGGUGGGGAUGGGGCCGGGGAAGGAAAAGGCAGCACAGGAAUCUGUAACCACAGGAUGAUGCUUCUGCGACAGCGAGUGGGCCUCUCAGUGAACCCAGCGCUCAGGGAUUCAGAUAGGCUCGGCUGCCUGUCUCUGCCUCCCCAGGCCUGGGAUUACAGAUGCGUGCCCUGUUCCCACGCAGGCUCCUGCAGCCUUCAGAAGCUCAUGUAUCCCAGACUGGCUUUGAACUCACUACACAGCCGAGGAAGAUGGCCCUGAACUUCCUCUCAUCUCGUCUUCAUUCCCAGCGGUCACAGAUGUAUUGGCAGGUGAACCCAGAGCUUCCUGUCUGUUUGGCAAACCUUCUACCGGCCGAGCUACCUGGCUACCCACGCAACCUCCCUCUGUAGCCCUGGCUACCCUGGAACUCACAGAGAUCCUCCUGCCUCUGCCUAUUAAAUACUGGCAUUACGGGCUCAUGCCACCGUGCCUGCCUUUGUCUUCUAGCUUGGAGGUGAGAGGCAUGUUUGUUGUAGCACUGGGGUUUGAACCCCUAUCUCAGAGCACACUAGAUGUGUACUCUUGUCUUCGUUCCCCAUUAGUUCAAGACAGGGUCUCAAUAAGCUGCCGUUGCAGGCCUUAAACUCUUAGAUUCCACCUCAGAUACAAUUACGUGCCUGCGCCAUCAGUUUGGUUUGAAAAUAGUCUCCCUGCACAGCCUGGGCUCACCUCAAAUUCACUAUGGAAUGGGUGUGGCUUUGAACUCUUGAUCCUUGUGCCUCUCUCACUCAAAUUCUAGGAUUAGAGCUGUAUGGAACA
Molecule: long non-coding RNA, 870 nt
Organism: Apodemus sylvaticus (European woodmouse)
Lineage: Eukaryota; Metazoa; Chordata; Mammalia; Rodentia; Muridae
Exons: 3
Source: RefSeq, a predicted model, not a curated record